GAUGAACGCUGGCGGCGUGCCUAAUACAUGCAAGUCGAGCGAACGGACGAGAAGCUUGCUUCUCUGAUGUUAGCGGCGGACGGGUGAGUAACACGUGGAUAACCUACCUAUAAGACUGGGAUAACUUCGGGAAACCGUAGCUAAUACCGGAUAAUAUUUUGAACCGCUUGGUUCAAAAGUGAAAGACGGUCUUGCUGUCACUUAUAGAUGGAUCCGCGCUGCAUUAGCUAGUUGGUAAGGUAACGGCUUACCAAGGCAACGAUGCAUAGCCGACCUGAGAGGGUGAUCGGCCACACUGGAACUGAGACACGGUCCAGACUCCUACGGGAGGCAGCAGUAGGGAAUCUUCCGCAAGAGGCGAAAGCCUGACGGAGCAACGCCGCGUGAGUGAUGAAGGUCUUCGGAUCGUAAAACUCUGUUAUUAGGGAAGAACAUAUGUGUAAGUAACUGUGCACAUCUUGACGGUACCUAAUCAGAAAGCCACGGCUAGCUACGUGC
This 498-nucleotide ribosomal RNA is filed under the name uncultured bacterium. Its description in RNAcentral is "partial 16S ribosomal RNA". It matches the Rfam family "Bacterial small subunit ribosomal RNA", at positions 28 to 508 of the family's 1533-position model. The record is from RNAcentral.